UACUCGCGUUAAGGAUUGCAGUAAAAAGCCCACAGCGAAGCGAGGACUUGUAACGAAAAGCCUGGGCCAAA
RNAcentral lists this unclassified non-coding RNA (71 nucleotides) under Mucilaginibacter sp. OK268. Its description in RNAcentral is "Flavo-1 RNA". The record is from RNAcentral. Lineage: Bacteria; Pseudomonadati; Bacteroidota; Sphingobacteriia; Sphingobacteriales; Sphingobacteriaceae.